Molecule: ribosomal RNA, 429 nt
Filed under: Pseudomonadota bacterium
Lineage: Bacteria; Pseudomonadati; Pseudomonadota
Description: Proteobacteria bacterium partial 16S ribosomal RNA
Rfam family: Bacterial small subunit ribosomal RNA
Source: RNAcentral
UGGGGAAUAUUGGACAAUGGGCGAAAGCCUGAUCCAGCCAUGCCGCGUGUGUGAAGAAGGUCUUCGGAUUGUAAAGCACUUUAAGUUGGGAGGAAGGGCAGUAAGCGAAUACCUUGCUGUUUUGACGUUACCGACAGAAUAAGCACCGGCUAACUCUGUGCCAGCAGCCGCGGUAAUACAGAGGGUGCAAGCGUUAAUCGGAAUUACUGGGCGUAAAGCGCGCGUAGGUGGUUCGUUAAGUUGAAUGUGAAAGCCCCGGGCUCAACCUGGGAACUGCAUCCAAAACUGGCGGGCUAGAGUAGGGCAGAGGGUGGUGGAAUUUCCUGUGUAGCGGUGAAAAGCGUAGAUAUAGGAAGGAACACCAGUGGCGAAGGCGACCACCUGGGCUCAUACUGACACUGAGGUGCGAAAGCGUGGGGAGCAAACAGG